Molecule: long non-coding RNA, 847 nt
Organism: Ipomoea nil (Japanese morning glory)
Lineage: Eukaryota; Viridiplantae; Streptophyta; Magnoliopsida; Solanales; Convolvulaceae
Exons: 7
Source: RefSeq, a predicted model, not a curated record
AUUAUUUUUAUAUCCCAGACCCCAAAUCAGAUCUAAUAUGCUAAACCCUCCUUCACCGCAUCCACGCACCCUCCGUCGCACACCCCUCCUCACGCAACCGCCGACGCCGACGCCACAGUCGCCACCCCGGAACAGCUUCGUCGCUCGCAACAGUGCGUCGUCGAUCUACAGCUGCCAACGCCGUCUCCACCGCCUACCCUUCCGAUCUGCUUCGUUGUUCCCUCCUCCGGCUCCCCUGCGACGCCACAUCUCCCAGCCACCGCAGUUCACGUACUUUUAAGGGUCACAUGUACAUAGCAGGUUGACUCUGGAAAUCCCUAUGUUUUGGUUUAUUGAUGGGGAAACAUUGUUAGUUGACAAGCGUUACCAAGCAAAGGCACUAUCCGAUAUGGUUAUUGUUGUUCAGUCAGAAUCAUCAUCAUGGGAAAGUCACUUAAGUGGGACUUGAGGUAAAGUUGAACCCGUCACUUGAAGAUGCUUGGCUGUGCUUGGGUAACUGCAUAUGGAAGAAAGGGGAUUUAGCUUCAGCCAAGAAUUGUUUCAUGUUUGGUUUGAGCAAGGGACCCAACAAACAAAUACUUUGUCAACUGUCAAUGCUUGAAAGAAAAAUGGCUCAAGGUGCUGAAGAUCAAGCAGAAAUUGUUGAAGAGAGCAAAAAGCAUGCAAAGGAAGCUAUCACUGUAGAUGUCAAGGAUGGAUAUUCCUGGUUACAGAUAACUUAGGUAAUGCCUAUCACACAUCAUUUUUUGUCACCGGAGCUUGGGAUCUGGAAAACUUCUACAAUCAUUGAAAGCAUACCAAAAUGCUUUCCAACAAGUUGAUUAUGACAAAGCGGUUAUUGAUCUGG